RNAcentral lists this ribosomal RNA (900 nucleotides) under Chryseobacterium ureilyticum. Its description in RNAcentral is "bacterial SSU rRNA". It matches the Rfam family "Bacterial small subunit ribosomal RNA", at positions 63 to 966 of the family's 1533-position model. Lineage: Bacteria; Pseudomonadati; Bacteroidota; Flavobacteriia; Flavobacteriales; Weeksellaceae. The record is from RNAcentral.
CGAGCGGUAGAAGAUCUUCGGAUCUUUGAGAGCGGCGCACGGGUGCGGAACACGUGUGCAACCUGCCUUUAUCAGGGGGAUAGCCUUUCGAAAGGAAGAUUAAUACCCCAUAAUAUAAUGACUGGCAUCAGUUAUUAUUGAAAACUCCGGUGGAUAGAGAUGGGCACGCGCAAGAUUAGAUAGUUGGUGAGGUAACGGCUCACCAAGUCUGCGAUCUUUAGGGGGCCUGAGAGGGUGAUCCCCCACACUGGUACUGAGACACGGACCAGACUCCUACGGGAGGCAGCAGUGAGGAAUAUUGGACAAUGGGUGAGAGCCUGAUCCAGCCAUCCCGCGUGAAGGACGACGGCCCUAUGGGUUGUAAACUUCUUUUGUAUAGGGAUAAACCUACUCUCGUGAGAGUAGCUGAAGGUACUAUACGAAUAAGCACCGGCUAACUCCGUGCCAGCAGCCGCGGUAAUACGGAGGGUGCAAGCGUUAUCCGGAUUUAUUGGGUUUAAAGGGUCCGUAGGCUGAUUUGUAAGUCAGUGGUGAAAUCUCACAGCUCAACUGUGAAACUGCCAUUGAUACUGCAAGUCUUGAGUGUUGUUGAAGUAGCUGGAAUAAGUAGUGUAGCGGUGAAAUGCAUAGAUAUUACUUAGAACACCAAUUGCGAAGGCAGGUUACUAAGCAACAACUGACGCUGAUGGACGAAAGCGUGGGGAGCGAACAGGAUUAGAUACCCUGGUAGUCCACGCCGUAAACGAUGCUAACUCGUUUUUGGGUUUUCGGAUUCAGAGACUAAGCGAAAGUGAUAAGUUAGCCACCUGGGGAGUACGUUCGCAAGAAUGAAACUCAAAGGAAUUGACGGGGGCCCGCACAAGCGGUGGAUUAUGUGGUUUAAUUCGAUGAUACGCGAGG